This 1663-nucleotide long non-coding RNA is filed under the name Homo sapiens (human). RNAcentral describes it as "HSALNT0302542". Lineage: Eukaryota; Metazoa; Chordata; Mammalia; Primates; Hominidae. The record is from RNAcentral.
CGCGGUCGCCCCAGCCGCCCGGCAGCCGCCGACCCCCGGCCGGGCCCUGGACUCGCCGCGGUAGUGCCUUCCCAAACAGAGCUGCUGGAAUUACAAUCUUUUGUUGAGCCUCAUGUAACGGAAAAGUCUCCGAUUACUAUCACUUGAAAAGGCUAGCGCGCCCACGGGACGGCCUGGAGAGUGAAGAGCCCCAAGGGUCCCGGGCCCGCGCGGCUCAUUCACUCUCUAGCGUCUGCUGAGGUAACGCGGCCCGCACCUGGGCGCGCGCGACUGCCCCAGUGCGCUGGCGCCAACCACGCGGCGGCGGCCCGGCGAGCCACCGGGAAGAAGUCAGACAAAGUCACUCUCAGGGCGCUGUGCAGCGCCACAGCCAGGGGAGGUGUAAGUUCGGGCUCAGUGAAGAAUCUCGGCUGACUUACGCUGCCAUCAGGGGAUAUGAAGGCGGUGGUUUCCUGGAAUAACACGGGCCUAUGAUAGGAAUUCGACGCAAGGAAGAUUUAUGGGAGCACCGAUUUGCAAGGCAUUGUGGGAAAAAGGUACACAGGCAGACAACAAAUUACACUUUUGGCAUUUCCAGUUUGGAGCCCUACAGCAAUACUCACUGAAGAAGCUGUCUCAACAAAGAGGAACAGAGCACUAAAGCUAAAUAACCCCCAUGAAGGACCAACCCUCUUCCGGCAGUCCCCAAAUGAAGAGCAAUUGUAUUCCUUUAAUUCAGUCAUAAAUCAACUCUCAAUUCUAUGAGAUUUUUCACAGAAGAACGGAGCGCCUCAAAAGUGGAUCAAGGCAGAAAUGGAUGUGGAAAUUAUCAUCCUGUACCUUUGAGGUAAAGAGGCUUCUACAGCUCUGGCAUGAGCUACCACAGGUCAUAACCAUUAGGAAAGAAACUGGAAUGUUACCAUGCCAGGCUUUGUAAGUAUUCUGUUAGUUCUCCUCUAUAUUGAUUAAAGUUCGUAAAGUCAAUACCUGGAACAGCCCAGAGGGAAAAUACUUUACCUGUUCUCUUACUUCCCAAGAUACCACAUUUAUUAUCUAAGUCGCACAGGUUAUCAGAUAAACUUGCAGGUUUUUGUUUUAUGAAGAAACAAUAAUCCCCAGGCUACUUUCCAGCAUCCUCUACUGUUACUCUACAAAAUCUUCCUUGGUGACAUCAUCCACUUCUCUGUCUUUGCUGGUUACCCGGUGCUGACAGCUGCUCCCUGCAAGGUGCAGGUGUCUCCUAACAAUCACUAACUCCGCCUGUCGAACACCGAACUCACAGCCCCGACCUCUACGCCCUGCAUCUCCUCCACCACUCCCUCGCUGAAUGGCAUCCCCACUUCUCCUAGCCGCCCCAGACACAAACCUUCGCAGUCACCUUUCAUUUCUCCCUCUCGCUCCACAGGGUGGCCCUAAGGUAACUCGUACCUCCUGAAAAUCUCAUGAGUUAGUUCCAGCAGGAGUUUCUCAUUCCAGCUCCUCAUCUCUCAUUGUAAUCCCUAAUCCAUUCCCCUACAAUGCUACCAGAGGGACCGUGCUAAAAUGUAAUUCCAGUUAUUUUAUCCCCCUAAAAACUAAAAUCUACCAAAUGGCUCCCAAUGCCAUCAGAAUAAUGCCAAGAAGCCUUAGGAGAGAAAAUGAGAUUCUUCACGAGGACCUUGCCCAUCUCUCUAGCCUGGUCCCA